This 301-nucleotide ribosomal RNA is filed under the name uncultured bacterium. RNAcentral's name for it is "partial 16S ribosomal RNA". It matches the Rfam family "Bacterial small subunit ribosomal RNA", at positions 509 to 808 of the family's 1533-position model. The record is from RNAcentral.
CAGCCGCCGCGGGAAUACGUAGGGUGCAAGCGUUAAUCGGAAUUACUGGGCGUAAAGCGUGCGCAGGCGGUUAUAUAAGACAGAUGUGAAAUCCCCGGGCUCAACCUGGGAACUGCAUUUGUGACUGUAUAGCUAGAGUACGGCAGAGGGGGAUGGAAUUCCGCGUGUAGCAGUGAAAUGCGUAGAUAUGCGGAGGAACACCGAUGGCGAAGGCAAUCCCCUGGGCCUGUACUGACGCUCAUGCACGAAAGCGUGGGGAGCAAACAGGAUUAGAUACCCCCGUGUCCCUGUCUCUUAUACA